AUUCUUGUACUCGAAACUCUCUCCCUCUCGCUUCGUUGAAUACCAUACCUAACUGAUGGCGCCCAAGGCAGCAGAGAAGAAACCGGCGGAGAAGAAACCAGCGGCGGCAGAGAAGGCACCGGCCGAGAAGAAGCCCCGAGCGGAGAAGAAGUUGCCGAAGGAAGGCUCUAUUGAUAAGAAAAGGAAGAAGGCCAAGAAGAGCGUAGAGACUUACAAGAUAUACAUUUUCAAGGUGUUGAAACAGGUUCAUCCUGAUAUUGGUAUCUCUAGCAAGGCUAUGGGGAUCAUGAACAGUUUCAUCAACGAUAUUUUUGAGAAGCUCGCUCAAGAGGCUUCGAGGCUUGCUCGAUACAACAAGAAGCCCACCAUCACUUCCCGGGAGAUUCAGACUGCUGUUAGGUUGGUUCUUCCUGGAGAGCUUGCUAAACAUGCUGUUUCUGAAGGGACCAAGGCUGUUACUAAGUUCACUAGUUCUUAAAGUUUAGGUUUUCUUAUGGUUCUUUAGUGGGUGCUUUAGAGCUAUUUGAGUGGUGAUAUUAGGGAUCUAGGGUUUCUGGAUGUAAAUUGUGUUUCUGGGUU
RNAcentral lists this unclassified non-coding RNA (579 nucleotides) under Hevea brasiliensis (rubber tree). Lineage: Eukaryota; Viridiplantae; Streptophyta; Magnoliopsida; Malpighiales; Euphorbiaceae. The record is from RNAcentral.